AAAAAGACAAACUGAAUUUUUAUGUUUAACAUUUGGCUGUCUUAUAUGAAAUUUUUUAUAAUUAGUAUUUCUAUUGUUAUUAGAUGAUAAAAUAUAAUUAAUACUUUAUGCGUGACUUGUCUUUUUAAUUUUUGAAAUAAGACGAACGGUUAAACGUCAGACACGGAGAUCUAGGGUU
RNAcentral lists this microRNA precursor (178 nucleotides) under Oryza nivara. RNAcentral describes it as "MIR812 microRNA precursor family". It matches the Rfam family "MIR812 microRNA precursor family". The record is from Rfam by way of RNAcentral. Lineage: Eukaryota; Viridiplantae; Streptophyta; Magnoliopsida; Poales; Poaceae.